UGGGGAAUCUUUGGACAAUGGGGGCAACCCUGAUCCAGCCAUGCCGCGUGAGUGAUGAAGGCCUUAGGGUCGUAAAGCUCUUUCGCCUGUGAAGAUAAUGACGGUAGCAGGUAAAGAAACCCCGGCUAACUCCGUGCCAGCAGCCGCGGUAAUACGGAGGGGGUUAGCGUUGUUCGGAAUUACUGGGCGUAAAGCGCACGUAGGCGGACCAGAAAGUUGGGGGUGAAAUCCCGGGGGCUCAACCCCGGAACUGCCUCCAAAACUAUUGGUCUAGAGUUCGAGAGAGGUGAGUGGAAUUCCAAGUGUAGAGGUGAAAUUCGUAGAUAUUCGGAGGAACACCAGUGGCGAAGGCGGCUCACUGGCUCGAUACUGACGCUGAGGUGCGAAAGCGUGGGGA
This 397-nucleotide ribosomal RNA is filed under the name uncultured bacterium. RNAcentral's name for it is "bacterial SSU rRNA". It matches the Rfam family "Bacterial small subunit ribosomal RNA", at positions 355 to 767 of the family's 1533-position model. The record is from RNAcentral.